UACGGAGGAUCCAAGCGUUAUCCGGAAUCAUUGGGUUUAAAGGGUCCGUAGGCGGUUUUGUAAGUCAGUGGUGAAAGCCCAUCGCUCAACGGUGGAACGGCCAUUGAUACUGCAAGACUUGAAUUAUUAGGAAGUAACUAGAAUAUGUAGUGUAGCGGUGAAAUGCUUAGAGACUACAUGGAAUACCAAUUGCGAAGGCAGGUUACUACUAGUGGAUUGACGCUGAUGGACGAAAGCGUGGGGAGCGAACAGG
Molecule: ribosomal RNA, 253 nt
Filed under: uncultured bacterium
Lineage: Bacteria
Description: partial 16S ribosomal RNA
Rfam family: Bacterial small subunit ribosomal RNA
Source: RNAcentral